This 103-nucleotide non-coding RNA is filed under the name Chloroflexota bacterium. RNAcentral describes it as "Chloroflexi bacterium c-di-GMP sequence". It matches the Rfam family "c-di-GMP-II-GAG riboswitch aptamer". Lineage: Bacteria; Bacillati; Chloroflexota. The record is from RNAcentral.
ACCUGGGGUGGAGGCACUGAUCCGGAAGCAAGCGAGGUCGCUCGUCCGAGAAGCUCGCGGGCGCGCUUCCGGGGAGCCACUAGCGAAACCGGCCACUGCGUGG